Scophthalmus maximus (turbot) is the source of this 853-nucleotide long non-coding RNA. RefSeq lists it as uncharacterized. Lineage: Eukaryota; Metazoa; Chordata; Actinopteri; Pleuronectiformes; Scophthalmidae. The record is from RefSeq and is a predicted model, not a curated record. The transcript is spliced from 3 exons.
UUCAGGUCCUUUGCGCCUUGAUUAUUUCACAAAGAAUUUAAAUACAAGUAAAGGAAGCUACUAUGGACCCUGUCAAAGUGAAGGAGAUUGUAGAUUUAAAGAUGAACAACAUCUAUGCUCCAAAAUUCAACAAAAAUCAAUGCUAUGUUCUUAAAAGAAAGGCUGAGGGUUACCAGUUAAUAAGUAAGGCAACAGGACUGCAUUAAUAAUGUUAAUGAAUUUUCAAAUAUCAUUUCAAAUGUUCAUUGCAAUGUAAUCCCUAGAAGGGGAAUUAUAUUAUCUGUGCCACAGAAAUCUCGAUGAACAGCAGCAUCACCUUGCAAAAGUCAUUCGUACUCCAGAAGAAGCAAACAAUUUAUUUGUGGAGUUUCACGCCAGUGCGAUCGGGGCACACUGUGGAGUGGAAAAGACAAUGCAUGCAAUUAUUAAACGCUAUUACUGGCCAGGAAUGAAAGCAGACAUCACAAAAUGGAUUUCCCAAUGUGAUGACUGUCAAAAAAAGAGGGCCACAAUAAAGGAGAAAACUCAGUAUAAACCGAUAGAGGUGAAUCAUGUUAUUAAAUAUUACACAUUUAACAUGGAAUUCUUAGCUGAUAUUAUACUUUGGUUUGCAUUUAAGGUUUCAAAGCCAUUUGAACUUGUUGGGAUGGACCUUGUUGGGAAGUUAAAGUGCUCCAACAAUGGAAACAUAUACAUUUGUGUCAUGGUGGACUACUUCACUAAAUGGCUCGAGGUCUAUCCCCUGAAGAGUAAAAAGGCUGAGGAAGUGACAGAGUGCAUAAUGGAUUUUUUCUAUAAGUAUGGUUCACCUAAACGAAUCCUUACUGACUGCGGUAAAGAAUUCGUCAAUAAA